AUUGAACGCUGGCGGCAGGCUUAACACAUGCAAGUCGAGCGAGCGGCGGACGGGUGAGUAAUGUCUGGGAAACUGCCUGAUGGAGGGGGAUAACUACUGGAAACGGUAGCUAAUACCGCAUACCAUCAGAUGUGCCCAGAUGGGAUUAGCUAGUAGGUGGGGUAAUGGCUCACCUAGGCGACGAUCCCUAGCUGGUCUGAGAGGAUGACCGACCACACUGGAACUGUGACACGGUCCAGACUCCGACGGGAGGCAGCAGGGGGGAUUAUUGCAAAAUGAGCUCAAGCCUGAUGCAGCCAUGCCGCGUGUGUGAUGAAGGCCUGCGGGUUGUAAAGCACUUUCGGCGAGGAGGCGUUACUCUCAGAAGAAGCACCGGCUAACUCCGUGCCAGCAGCCGCGGUAAUAC
This 406-nucleotide ribosomal RNA is filed under the name uncultured bacterium. RNAcentral describes it as "partial 16S ribosomal RNA". It matches the Rfam family "Bacterial small subunit ribosomal RNA", at positions 30 to 526 of the family's 1533-position model. The record is from RNAcentral.